AAUACAAGUGGUGUCCUUAUAAGAAGAAGAGAAUAGAGAUAGAGACAUGCAGAGAGAACACCUUGUGACAAUAGAGGCAGGUUCUCUUCCUCUUGUGGGAACCAAAUCUGUCAAUACCUUGGUUUUGGACUUCCAGUCCCCAGAACUGAGAGAUUACAUUUCCUUUUUGAGGUCCUUCAGUUUGUGGUAAUUUAUUACACAGCCCUGGAAUACUGAUACACCACUCUUCUCCCUUACCCAUUUUUCAAAGUAAAAAUUUUAAAUUCAAUGCUAUUAAAAAGCUGGAUGACAACUACUAUAUGAGAAAAGUUGAGAAGGUGAAAACUAUUAUUUGUGAUUGCCUCUUCAGGCAGUGGGUAUAGAAGACCCCUGAAGAGCUGUAAUGAGGGAAGUAGAACACAGACAACCAUGGUCUAUCCAGACAAAAGGAGUAUCCGAUGCCAGGAAGAAAAUUUGGCAAAGCUGCAGAUAGUUUAUGGUCUAAUUGUGGUUGGUCGAUAAUUUUGCAACUGUCAUCAACAUGUCCUCCCAAAGGUAAGAAUCCUUUUGCUGUGAGAGUAUUUUGCCCCGAAGGCAGCAUGGGAGAUGGGAGUAGUGGGUACAUGCCGUGGGGGUGGGGGGUGGGCAGGAAUAGGACCAGGGAUAGGCAAAUACCUUGUUUGGCGAAUAUACUCAGUAACUAUACCUGAUUUAAACAUCUGACUUAAAGAUAUCCAUUUUAUUCUGAGAAUAUGGAAGGCUUAGGAAGGGCUUACAGAAUUGUUCUAACACAGAGGCGCCAUCUUACACAACUGUUCACUCUUUUUUAGUAUUUUGAGGUCCCGGUCUGGCUUCCAAAGAAGAUGUUUUCAUACUUCUAAAACCUGUCUUUGAAGUCAGAGGACAAUGUCAGAACCUUUGUUUUGUGGUACUUGAAAAGAAGCUGUACUUCCUUUAGCUUUCCUCAUUUCAGUAAAGGCAAGGUGGUCAUACAUUCCAGUGUGCUAGGGUUGUAGAUUGAAAAAAUGG
RNAcentral lists this long non-coding RNA (1008 nucleotides) under Microcebus murinus (gray mouse lemur). RNAcentral's name for it is "lncRNA (ENSMICG00000048690.1)". The record is from RNAcentral. Lineage: Eukaryota; Metazoa; Chordata; Mammalia; Primates; Cheirogaleidae.